UGGACUCCUAAUACCUGAGGGACAGCUUUGCUUAACUGCUGAGAUCAAGUAAUGCACCGAAGAGGUGCCCUCUUCUGAGUGGAAAAUCAAACCUGCUCAGUUGCUUACAAAAAGAAUGUUCAGAUUUGAUUUUAUCAUCAUGUUCAAGCCAGGCCACACAGGAUAUAAGCCCUAAUACAAUCACAGCAGAUAGACAGUUUCCUUCAGCACAUGUGGUAGUCGUUCAUAUUUCUAGAACGAAGAUGCUAGGUUCUAUCUCUGAAUAUGUGCAGUUUAGAUGGAUUAAAUCAAGCUUAUGAUCAAAAGAUGGAAAAGUUUUCAGCAUAGAAAAGUUACCAGGCCCCAGAGAAUUGGAGACACAGUAUUUAAGAGGAUGUCAGCUCGUGAAUCACUUGAAUUCAAAGUUCGGAUGGCUCAUGUGACUGCCAGCGAUCUACACACAGCUUUCCAUCUUUCCCCUAAGAAAUCUGAAUUUCGGCUCUGAUCGUGCAGCUGACAGCAUGCAAGUUGCUGCACCCAUGAAGACCCCC
Molecule: long non-coding RNA, 530 nt
Organism: Mauremys mutica (yellowpond turtle)
Lineage: Eukaryota; Metazoa; Chordata; Testudines; Geoemydidae
Exons: 3
Source: RefSeq, a predicted model, not a curated record